This is a non-coding RNA of Bos taurus (domestic cattle), 73 nucleotides long. Lineage: Eukaryota; Metazoa; Chordata; Mammalia; Artiodactyla; Bovidae. The record is from Rfam.
GGUUCCAUAGUGUAGUGGUUAGCACAUCUGCUUUACACGCAGAAGGUCCUGGGUUCGAUCCCCAGUGGAACCA